RNAcentral lists this transfer RNA (70 nucleotides) under Sinosuthora webbiana. RNAcentral's name for it is "Paradoxornis webbianus tRNA-Val". Lineage: Eukaryota; Metazoa; Chordata; Aves; Passeriformes; Sylviidae. The record is from RNAcentral.
CAAGACGUAGCUUUAACAAAAGCACUCAGCUUACGCCUGAAAGAUGCCUGCUUAAACCAGGUCGUCUUGA